RNAcentral lists this long non-coding RNA (286 nucleotides) under Cyanistes caeruleus (blue tit). Its description in RNAcentral is "lncRNA (ENSCCEG00000022607.1)". Lineage: Eukaryota; Metazoa; Chordata; Aves; Passeriformes; Paridae. The record is from RNAcentral.
AUGAUGUCAGAGAAGGACAGUCACAUCACUGCAGACUGUGAAGGGGCAGGUGGCAUCAAGGUCAAAUAUUUAAAGGCUUUUCAGAUCAAUAAAGCAGAGACAAACUCUAUUGAAAGCGCUUAUAGGAGAGAACGAUGUGAAGAAUGGUUUUAGAUGCCUUUUCAACGAAUUAGGAUGACCAAGAAAAGCGCUACCAGCAAAACAAACUUUCAGUAAAAAGCAUAUUUUUUUUCUACAGCACAGUGCUCACAAUAAAUGACAGAAUUCAUCUGACUCUAAAGUUUUU